RNAcentral lists this ribosomal RNA (516 nucleotides) under uncultured bacterium. RNAcentral's name for it is "bacterial SSU rRNA". It matches the Rfam family "Bacterial small subunit ribosomal RNA", at positions 28 to 533 of the family's 1533-position model. The record is from RNAcentral.
GAUGAACGCUAGCGAUAGGCCUAACACAUGCAAGUCGAGGGGCAUCACAUGAAGUAGCAAUACGGAUGGUGGCGACCGGCGCACGGGUGAGUAACACGUAUGCAACCUGCCUUCAACAAGGGGAUAACCCGUUGAAAGACGGACUAAUACCCUAUAACACAGGGGUCCCGCAUGGGGAUAUUUGUUAAAGGACAACCGGUUGAAGAUGGGCAUGCGUUCCAUUAGCUAGUUGGCGGGGUAAGGGCCCACCAAGGCAACGAUGGAUAGGGGAACUGAGAGGUUUAUCCCCCACACUGGUACUGAGACACGGACCAGACUCCUACGGGAGGCAGCAGUGAGGAAUAUUGGUCAAUGGACGCAAGUCUGAACCAGCCACGUCGCGUGAAGGAAGACGGCCCUACGGGUUGUAAACUUCUUUUGCAAGGGAAUAAAGUGGGCCACGUGUGGCCUUUUGCAAGUACCUUGCGAAUAAGGAUCGGCUAACUCCGUGCCAGCAGCCGCGGUAAAUCACACUAC